This 245-nucleotide ribosomal RNA is filed under the name uncultured bacterium. RNAcentral describes it as "partial 16S ribosomal RNA". It matches the Rfam family "Bacterial small subunit ribosomal RNA", at positions 524 to 768 of the family's 1533-position model. The record is from RNAcentral.
UACGUAGGUGGCGAGCGUUACUCGGAAUUACUAGGCGUAAAGCGCGUGUAGGCGGGAGCUUAAGUCCGCUGUUAAAUCUCAUGGCCUAACCAUGAAAUGCCGGCGGAUACUGGGUUUCUUGAAUUCGGUAGAGGAAACUGGAAUUCCAGGUGUAGCGGUGAAAUGCGUAGAUAUCUGGAAGAACGCCAAAGGCGAAAGCAGGUUUCUGGGCCGCAAUUGACGCUGAGACGCGAAAGCUAGGGGAG